GAUGAACGCUGGCGGCGUGCCUAAUACAUGCAAGUCGAGCGAACGGACGAGAAUCUUGCUUCUCUGAUGUUAGCGGCGGACGGGUGAGUAACACGUGGAUAACCUACCUAUAAGACUGGGAUAACUUCGGGAAACCGGAGCUAAUACCGGAUAAUAUUUUGAACCGCAUGGUUCAAAAGUGAAAGACGGUCUUGCUGUCACUUAUAGAUGGAUCCGCGCUGCAUUAGCUAGUUGGUAAGGUAACGGCUUACCAAGGCAACGAUGCAUAGCCGACCUGAGAGGGUGAUCGGCCACACUGGAACUGAGACACGGUCCAGACUCCUACGGGAGGCAGCAGUAGGGAAUCUUCCGCAAUGGGCGAAAGCCUGACGGAGCAACGCCGCGUGAGUGAUGAAGGUCUUCGGAUCGUAAAACUCUGUUAUUAGGGAAGAACAUAUGUGUAAGUGACUGUGCACAUCUUGACGGUACCUAAUCAGAAAGCCACGGCUAACUACGUG
This 497-nucleotide ribosomal RNA is filed under the name uncultured bacterium. Its description in RNAcentral is "partial 16S ribosomal RNA". It matches the Rfam family "Bacterial small subunit ribosomal RNA", at positions 28 to 507 of the family's 1533-position model. The record is from RNAcentral.